This 112-nucleotide ribosomal RNA is filed under the name Pteropus alecto (black flying fox). The record is from RNAcentral. Lineage: Eukaryota; Metazoa; Chordata; Mammalia; Chiroptera; Pteropodidae.
GUCUACGGCCAUGCCACCCUGAACAUGCCUGAUCUUGUCUGAUCUCAGAAGCUCAGCAGCCUGGUUAGUACUUGGAUGGGAGACCACCUAGGAAUACAGGGUGCUGUAGGCU